This is a long non-coding RNA of Paramormyrops kingsleyae, 1773 nucleotides long. RefSeq lists it as uncharacterized. The record is from RefSeq and is a predicted model, not a curated record. NCBI's taxonomy places the organism in Eukaryota, Metazoa, Chordata, Actinopteri, Osteoglossiformes, Mormyridae.
CGAGAGAGAGAGAGAGAGAGCAAAGAAAAGAGAAACACAGAGCAGAAAAAAAUCAUAAGAAAAGUGCAAGAAAAGAGUGAAGAAGUACAUGGAGGCCUGGAUACGAACUAAUUUGCUGUUAAAGUGACAAAAGGAUAAACAAGCACCAGUAAAAACAUGUGAAAUUUACUCAGAAGAAAGUAACUGAGCAAGAAAAAAGAAAAACAAGUAAAAUAGGAAAAACAACACAGCAAGAAGGAACAGGGCAGAAAAGUAAACUCGUGGAGAAAAGUUUGUUUUUCAAUCAAAUUCUAAAGUUCAAAAAUCGCCCAAGCUAAAUUGCAUUUUUUCGUGUUUGGUUUGUUGUUCUUGGGUGAUUGAAACCUCCAGCAACAGAAAAACGACUGAGAGACAAGUCAGAGAAGGUGCCCUAAAGUGAAGAGUAACUACCUUCCCAUUCCUGGAGCCGACCUUCCAGAAAGCCUGCACCCAUCUUUGAGAAACAGCAUCGAUAAGGCAACAUGGAAGCGAAGCAGGAGGUGCUGGACCUGCUGCAGAAGGUCUGGGUGAAGCUGCAGGGCCUGCCCCAUGCUAGCGCUGCGGAACUAGGACUUUUCUUCGUCCUAGUCCUCUUCAUUGCCACCUUCCUGCUCAUGAUCCUGCUGUCCUGUGCCCACUGCUGCUGCUGCGGCAAACCCAAGUAUCAGGCCUCCAGGGUGCAGCCCAUACACGCCGUGUGAGAGCCACCAGGACCAGCACCAGGACCGCCGGCAGCUGUUCAGAGCUCCGUGGGUCCUGCCGUGGCGAUGCGGACCUCGCUCCGCGGCUGGGGGCUCAUUCCGAGGCGUCCCAAAGUCCCCCAAAAACGAGAGCUGCACCUAUCCAAUGCGCCCUCCCUGAAGGAUGGAGGGGUGCAGGCUGGAAAACAAAGCAUUGAAACAAAGUGGGAAUGAACAUUUUAAGGGGCCAAAAGUGGGUAAAAAAGGCUACAUGCUUGCAUCUGUGCUUUUGCUCGUCGUCAACAGCUGGACUUCUCCAAAAGACAUCAAAAAAAUAUAUUUAUGUUUUAGUCAGAGAAACUACAUGACGGUUCAUACUUCAAAGGAACCUUUUGAGUGGGAAUCAGAGUAUCCCCAUGGCUCUUUGAUUUUUCAGCAAUUAUUUUCACCCAAUUGCCAACGAAUAGGCCAAAAACCAAACAAUCAAAGAGCUAUGUGAUGUUGAAAAUACUGUUUAUGAACUGUAUAAAACACAAGGUGUGUUAAAGGCCUUAACUAACCUUUGAAUAAAGGAACAGAUUGCAAUUGCUACACUAUGACUGUCCAGCAUUAAAAAAAGUUUAUGAUACACGUGUCCUGGUCUAACCCAAACAUGCUGCGCACUUUAACAAUUAAGGUCAGGGUGAAACAUAGCAUAGCUCCUGAGUCCCGGACUGCAGCUGCUGAGACUUGCCGUGCCAUUCUGCACACAGCGACGCAGUGCGGCCUUUUCAUCUGAGCAUUAUCCUCCCCCUCCCUCCUCAACAGUAUGAAAAUGCAUCUCUGUGCUGUUUGUUUAUAUGUCAUUCUUGCUAAGCUGUUUGUUUGCUUAUAUGUUAUUCAUGUUGACCUUUUGUUUAUAUGAUAUUUGUUUUGUCUGUGUGAACUCCCUGUAAUUGUCUGGCUGAUGAAAGGGAAAGCAUAUUGACGUAGCUUUAUUUUUUUCAGUUGGAAAUAAAGGUUUUGUAUGAUUUUUGCUUUUUGUUUACAUUUUUCAAUUAUUAAUUUACAGAAUUAAAGCUUCUUUCGAUAUUUA